UUCUGGCUCAGGACGAACGCUGGCGGCGUGCCUAAUACAUGCAAGUCGAACGGUCUUUCUAUGGAAGCUUGCUUCCACUGAGAAGAUAGUGGCGAACGGGUGAGUAACACGUGGGUAACCUGCCCAUAAGAGGGGGGAUAACAUCCGGAAACGGGUGCUAAUACCGCAUAGUUUUCUUGGUCGCAUGAUCGGGAAAGGAAAGACGGCCUUUGUGCUGUCGCUUAUGGAUGGACCCGCGGCGUAUUAGUUAGUUGGUGAGGUAACGGCUCACCAAGACGAUGAUACGUAGCCGACCUGAGAGGGUGAUCGGCCACAUUGGGACUGAGACACGGCCCAAACUCCUACGGGAGGCAGCAGUAGGGAAUCUUCCGCAAUGGACGAAAGUCUGACGGAGCAACGCCGCGUGAGUGAAAGAAGGUUUUCGGAUCGUAAAACUCUGUUGUCAGAGAAGAACAAGUUGGAGAGUAACUGCUCCAGCCUUGACGGUAUCUGACCAGAAAGCCACGGCUAACUACGUGCCAGCCGCCGC
RNAcentral lists this ribosomal RNA (529 nucleotides) under uncultured bacterium. Its description in RNAcentral is "bacterial SSU rRNA". It matches the Rfam family "Bacterial small subunit ribosomal RNA", at positions 17 to 518 of the family's 1533-position model. The record is from RNAcentral.